UUUUUUUAAUUCUGCUUGCUGAGAAACGACGCCGCUUUGCCAUCGCCAACAUUUGUUGACCUCCGCCGUUGAUUAGUCUGCCGCCCCGCCGCCGCUCCACCCGAGGCACCUGUACCACGGCACCGCUUUUUUCCUCCAAUAUUUCAGAUUUGCAAAUUGCGCCGUAAAAGGGGCUUCAAGACUGUGUUUAUUAGAGGAGGGUCUGGUGGUUCUGUUAAUUCCGGGCCUAGCGCAAAUAUUCAUGGCUCCGGCGGUGGUGGAGUGAAAAACCACCGUCGAUAUGACUACGGCAAUGAAGCUGCAUCGCACCUCGACCUGGAGACCGACGAC
Molecule: non-coding RNA, 330 nt
Organism: Erythranthe guttata (spotted monkey flower)
Lineage: Eukaryota; Viridiplantae; Streptophyta; Magnoliopsida; Lamiales; Phrymaceae
Source: RefSeq, a predicted model, not a curated record